AGCCUCAGGUUUUCAAGGAACAAAUUGAGCAACUAAAGGAAAAGGAAAAAGUCCUAGCAGCUGAAAAUGCAAGGCUAUGUGAGAAGUGUGGUAUUCAACCACAGCAAGGAUCAAAUGAGC
Quercus robur (English oak) is the source of this 120-nucleotide long non-coding RNA. RefSeq lists it as uncharacterized. The transcript is spliced from 3 exons. The record is from RefSeq and is a predicted model, not a curated record. Lineage: Eukaryota; Viridiplantae; Streptophyta; Magnoliopsida; Fagales; Fagaceae.